RNAcentral lists this ribosomal RNA (253 nucleotides) under uncultured Burkholderiales bacterium. Its description in RNAcentral is "partial 16S ribosomal RNA". It matches the Rfam family "Bacterial small subunit ribosomal RNA", at positions 524 to 776 of the family's 1533-position model. The record is from RNAcentral. Lineage: Bacteria; Pseudomonadati; Pseudomonadota; Betaproteobacteria; Burkholderiales.
UACGUAGGGUGCAAGCGUUAAUCGGAAUUACUGGGCGUAAAGCGUGCGCAGGCGGUUUUGUAAGACAGUGGUGAAAUCCCCGGGCUCAACCUGGGGACUGCCAUUGUGACUGCAAGGCUAGAGUGCGGCAGAGGGGGAUGGAAUUCCGCGUGUAGCAGUGAAAUGCGUAGAUAUGCGGAGGAACACCGAUGGCGAAGGCAAUCCCCUGGGCCUGCACUGACGCUCAUGCACGAAAGCGUGGGGAGCAAACAGG